Molecule: unclassified non-coding RNA, 303 nt
Filed under: uncultured fungus
Lineage: Eukaryota; Fungi
Description: partial contains small subunit ribosomal RNA, internal transcribed spacer 1, and 5.8S ribosomal RNA
Rfam family: Eukaryotic small subunit ribosomal RNA (bases 1-73)
Source: RNAcentral
GCAAACUUGGUCAUUUAGAGGAAGUAAAAGUCGUAACAAGGUUUCCGUAGGUGAACCUGCGGAAGGAUCAUUAAUGAAUAACACAUAAGGUGGAGGAUUGUUGCUGGCAUAUAUACUAUUUUGCAUGUGCACAUCCUUACCUUAUUUUUCCUUAAUUCACACCUUGUGCACACAACCAUUUAGCUGUUUUGCUAUAUGGAAUUUUUUCAUACACACAUUGAUUUUUUGGGAUAUUAAUACACAUAUAAUAAAAUAACUUUCAGCAACGGAUCUCUUGGCUCUCGCAUCGAUGAAGAACGCAGC